GAUGAACGCUGGCGGCGUGCCUAAUACAUGCAAGUCGAGCGAACAGACGAGGAGCUUGCGCCUCUGACGUUAGCGGCGGAAGGGUGAGUAACACAUGGGUAACAUCUCUCUCAGACUGGGAUAACAUCGGGAAACAGGAGCUAAAACCGGAGAAUAUCUUGGACCGCAUGGUGGAAUAGUGAGAGACGGUUUUGCUGUCACUUAUAGAUGGUGCCGCGCCGCAUCAGCUAGUUGGUAAGGUAACGGGUUACCAAGGCAACCAUUCGUAGCUGACCUGAGAGGGUGAUCGGCCACACUCGAACGGAGACACGGACCAGACUCCUACGGGAGGCAGCAGUAGGGAAGGUUUCGCAAUGGACGAAAGCAUGACGGAGCAAGGCAGCGUGAGUGAUGAAGGUCUUCGGAUCGUAAAACUCUGUUAUUCGGGAAGAAAGAAUGUGUGAGUAACUAUGCACGUCUUGACGGUACCUAGACAGAAAGCCACGGCUAACUACGUG
Molecule: ribosomal RNA, 497 nt
Filed under: uncultured bacterium
Lineage: Bacteria
Description: partial 16S ribosomal RNA
Rfam family: Bacterial small subunit ribosomal RNA
Source: RNAcentral